CUGAUGUACAACUGAUUAAUUAUGAAUGUACACGUUCGAUAUCAAGUUUGAUAAACUGGGAUUUAUAGUGGGAAGUCACUACAAAUAACAGCCUAGUGUAUGGACUUUAUAUUGCACAACGUUAACUUUAUUUUUCCAAAUGAGAUUUCAAAUGUGAAAUAGUGGAGAUUUGACACUUGAAAAUCGUUCGCAUUCAAGACGUCCACCUGCACGGCAUAUUGAGGUUAUUAAGGAAGCCGUAUAAAACCAACCUAGUACUAGCAAUCGCCGAUUAUAGGGACUCCAUUGGGCUUUCUAAAGCCAUCUCCAUUUAAAAUUUGGUGGAAAUAUGAAGGUUUAGUGUACUUCGCAAUCCGAUUCCCGAUGGUUGAGCUAUCAGUGCCAAGGUAUAUAGGGGAAAUAGCGACAAGGGCUGAUCCAUCUUUGGCGCCAGCAGGAGGUCACAUAGUCGUGGUCAAUUCAAGAGCUUGUAAUUUAAUUUUGAUAACAAUAGAUACAAGUAAAAGAUAUACACGUACAUUGCGAUCUUCUCUUGAAGACAUCCAGAGAAGCACUACCACACACGGAAGGAAGCAGCCUAUUUAAAUUCCAUAACCGUGGUGAAUGAUUUGUCAUAACAGCUAGAGGUAUGUCGAGAGAUAUGACGCAAAACUCCGCCAAAAUUGAAGAGGUGGUACGACAAGGGUUUCCAACAAACAAAAUAGAAACAGAC
Long non-coding RNA from Diorhabda sublineata, 712 nucleotides. RefSeq lists it as uncharacterized. The transcript is spliced from 3 exons. The record is from RefSeq and is a predicted model, not a curated record. Lineage: Eukaryota; Metazoa; Arthropoda; Insecta; Coleoptera; Chrysomelidae.